CCUACGGGAGGCAGCAGUAAGGAAUAUUGGUCAAUGGACGAAAGUCUGAACCAGCCAUGCCGCGUGAAGGAUUAAGGCCCUCUGGGUUGUAAACUUCUUUUAUCUGGGACGAAAAAAGGGUAUUCUUACUCACUUGACGGUACCAGAGGAAUAAGCACCGGCUAACUCCGUGCCAGCAGCCGCGGUAAUACGGAGGGUGCAAGCGUUAUCCGGAUUUACUGGGUUUAAAGGGUGCGUAGGUGGGCUUGUAAGUCAGUGGUGAAAUCCCCGGGCUUAACCCGGAAACUGCCAUUGAUACUAUAGGUCUUGAAUUAUCUGGAGGUAAGCGGAAUAUGUCAUGUAGCGGUGAAAUGCUUAGAUAUGACAUAGAACACCAAUUGCGAAGGCAGCUUACUACGGAUAUAUUGACACUGAGGCACGAAAGCGUGGGGAUCAAACAGGAUUAGAUACCCUGGUAGUCCACGCCCUAAACGAUGGAUACUCGACAUCAGCGAUACACUGUUGGUGUCUGAGCGAAAGCAUUAAGUAUCCCACCUGGGAAGUACGAUCGCAAGAUUGAAACUCAAAGGAAUUGACGG
RNAcentral lists this ribosomal RNA (578 nucleotides) under uncultured bacterium. RNAcentral describes it as "bacterial SSU rRNA". It matches the Rfam family "Bacterial small subunit ribosomal RNA", at positions 338 to 916 of the family's 1533-position model. The record is from RNAcentral.